AAGAUUACACCUACGGACUUCUAAUCCGUUCCUAAUAUAUUUAUUUAAUCUUU
RNAcentral lists this transfer RNA (53 nucleotides) under Coleolaelaps cf. liui XFX-2019. RNAcentral's name for it is "tRNA-Ser". Lineage: Eukaryota; Metazoa; Arthropoda; Arachnida; Mesostigmata; Laelapidae. The record is from RNAcentral.